This 1108-nucleotide long non-coding RNA is filed under the name Ananas comosus (pineapple). RNAcentral's name for it is "long non-coding RNA (ACOM_LNC010889)". Lineage: Eukaryota; Viridiplantae; Streptophyta; Magnoliopsida; Poales; Bromeliaceae. The record is from RNAcentral.
UUACAACUAAACGACUCCUAAAUUUUGUUUAUGUGAACUAACUAUAUUUAGAAUUUAGAAGCACGUAUAUAAUAAUCAUUAAGGUAGUGUUUGGUUCAGGAACAAGGGGGGAAUAAGCUCUUGUUCCCCUCUUUAUUCCCAAACGUAAUGUUUGGUACCCGGGAACAGCAGUUCCAGGGUUUCAAGAACAAGCUGGUAUAAGACUGAAACUGAUGUUCCACCUUUUUCCUGGAACAAGCUUGUUUCUUGAUGAGAACAAGGUUAAUUAAAAUCUAAAUUUAAUUUUAAUGCCAGUAAAUUAUUAAUUAAUCUAAUUAAUAUAUUUAAAUGAUUAUUUAUUGCUUUAAUAAUUAAUUAAUUAAUUAAUUAUUUAUAAUUAAUUAAUAAUAAUUAGAUAAUUAUUAUAAUUAAUUUAUUAUUUAUAAUUAUUUAUUAAUAAUUAUUAAUAAUUAUUAUCCUUAAUAAUUAGAUAAUCGACAUUAUUAUUAAUUUAUUAUUUAUAAUUAAUUAUUGAUAAUUAGAUAAUUAUUAUUAUUAAUUUAUUACUAGUAAUUAAUUAUUAAUAAUUAUUAUUAUUUAUUAAUGAAUAUUAAUAAUAAUUAUUAUUAAUAAUUAGAUAAUCGAUAUUAUUAUUAUUAAAAAUUAGAUAAUCACUAUUAUUAAUAAUUAAUUAAUUAUUAUUAUUAUUAUUAAUUAUCAAUUAUUAUUAUUAUUAUUAAUUAGAUAUUCAAUAUUAUUAAUUUAUUAUUUAUAAUUAAUUAUUAAUAAUUAUUAAUACUCAUUAUUAUUUAUAAUUAAUUAUUAAUAAUUAAUUUAUUAUUUAUUUUUAAGUAAUAUUUUGAUGUUAAUUAAUUAUAUAAUAUAAUUUUAAUUUCAAAUUAUAACUUUUAUUUCUCUUGUUCCAAUCUAAUCAUCUAAAUACUAUUUAUCUUAUUCAUAACAACAACCUAAUUUUUAUCCAAACGCAAAAUUAGUCUAGUUCCUACUUAUACCUGAACUUAUAUUUAUUUCUGCAACUAGUAGUUCUUAUUUAUAUCCGAACCAAACACAGCCUAAAUUUCUUAGCAAAAUUUUCUUCAUAGGAAACGCAAAUAAAUUCACAUACACA